Molecule: long non-coding RNA, 1409 nt
Organism: Physeter macrocephalus (sperm whale)
Lineage: Eukaryota; Metazoa; Chordata; Mammalia; Artiodactyla; Physeteridae
Exons: 2
Source: RefSeq, a predicted model, not a curated record
CCUCCCUUUCCCUCCCCUCCGCCCGCCCUCCUCCUCCUCCUCCUUCUCAGCCCUGCCUCCCCCCACCGUCUCCCCUCCGCGUCCCAAACUGCGCACAAUAGCUCGCCGGCUCCUCUAUCUAUUUUGUGUCCAGCCGGGAGCCGCGCUCGAUGAUUCAUUGCCCCAAUUAGGGGUUCUCUCCAGCAAGCCCGGCGCGAGCCCUCUCAAGGGUCUCCUCGGGGACCCGCGGAAACCCAUCAGCCGCUAGAGCUGGUCUUUAAGUAAAGGUCAAGCAGGACGCGGGAGGAGCCAGGACUCCAGCGUGAUGGACUUGAAGAGCAGCGACAGAUGCUCCCAGGCGGCCCCGGCAUUGGGAAUGGGAAGAAAACGCCCACCUCGGGUCUAUAGGAGACCAGAAGGCUGUCAGCCUGGAACAUCUGGGCACCUCUCAAAUUUGCGGCUUCCUGUAGGGUCGUCUUGGCCCAGGAACCACGGGAAUCUGCCCUCGCACUGCGGGGGAGAGCGAGUUUCCAGGCUCCGAGCACUUAUCACACGUUGUAUUAUGUGUCUGUCUCUGGGUGACUUCCCUAGCAAGGUCCCACAGCGUCACAAGGCCGGGGACAUAGCUGGGGCCCAAUCCAUGCUGAAACAUGGGAUGCCAGACUCUAUCCAAAACCUCACAGUGCCUUCCAAGUUCCAGAAUCUCCUGGCUGCUCCUGCCAGCUUCCAGUCUUUCAUUCUUCUGAGUGCCAGCAGCCCAGACUAAACCCUUCCAUGUGCCCCCAGCUCCCUGCACCAACCCUGUAACCUGCCUUCCCUCCUCACUUGUACCCUUCUCCGUUUCCCCCUCUCCACUGCGAGUGUGCCUCUGGCACCUCUCCCAGGACCCAUUCACCUUCGGAGGCUGGUCCAUCGUUCCUCUUUUAGAGGCUACGUGUGCUGUGUGUUUGGCCUCUGGUUCACCGGGGACCAGAAAAACAAAAUUUAUCAUCUGACUGUCGUAUUUUUUUUCUUUCCAUUUUUUUUUUCCCCCCCUAAGAAUGGAGCAAGCACUUCUCCUCUGUGCUCAGAAAGAGCUUCAAACAUGGCAGGCCACAGGCAAAAGCAUAUCCUCCUUCUCAGAGGGAAGGAAUGCAACCGUUAACAAUAAAAAAAAAAAAAAAAAAAAUCCCUGGGAUUUAUGGAGGCCUUGGGCUUAUGAGCUGCCUCACAUCCGUUAGCCUGUAAUGACACAGCGAUCCGGCGGGGGGCGAAGCAGGAUUCACCAGCUCCAUCUAAGAGACGGAGAAACUGAGGCUCCAGCGCACAGUUCUGGGGGGCCGGGAGAAGCUCCCAGCUGCUGAGGCUGGUGAAAUAGCCUUGCCUUUGUAUGUGUAAACUGGGCUGAUUUGUUCAGUGUAAUCAUUAAAAAUAUAUGGAGUGUUCGGUGA